GCGGAAAUAGCUCAGUUGGUAGAGCAUAACUUUGCCAAGGUUAGGGUCGCGAGUUCGAGUCUCGUUUUUCGCUCCA
This 76-nucleotide transfer RNA is filed under the name Bacteroides sp. Its description in RNAcentral is "tRNA-Gly". It matches the Rfam family "tRNA". Rfam says of the family: Transfer RNA (tRNA) molecules are approximately 80 nucleotides in length. Their secondary structure includes four short double-helical elements and three loops (D, anti-codon, and T loops). RNAcentral also lists the same sequence under 1 other name. Lineage: Bacteria; Pseudomonadati; Bacteroidota; Bacteroidia; Bacteroidales; Bacteroidaceae. The record is from RNAcentral.